CGAUGUUCAUAGAUCCAUUCAUGGUUUCACUGCCCCUGCGGGAAAUCAGAAAAGGCCUUGAACAGGAAGUUCACACAAAUAAACGUCUCUUCCUGCUGCAAUGAUUUCCAUUCUCCCAGAAACUAAGUUUAGUCAGACCUUAGGAUUCACCUAGCAGCCUCAUCGUCUUCCAGGAAAGGAAGCCCGAGCCCAGAGAGAUGAAGCGACGCGCCCAGGGUCAUACAGCUGGCACCAUCAAUUCCUUUAGCAGAACUGGGACUGGCUUCCUGACCCACAGGAGGUGACUAUCUGUAAGCUCAGGCUGCAUGGCAAAUACAGCAUACUACCUUGAUUGACCCACCAAAAUCUUGACCAAAACCUCAGAAGAGGUACUACACAAGAAUCAGCUAAUCUGCCCCUAAAUUCCUCACAGAAACUGUGAGAUAAUAAAUGCUCAUUCUUUUUCAAG
Molecule: long non-coding RNA, 448 nt
Organism: Myotis myotis
Lineage: Eukaryota; Metazoa; Chordata; Mammalia; Chiroptera; Vespertilionidae
Exons: 3
Source: RefSeq, a predicted model, not a curated record